UGGUCUUUAGUUUAUUUUAAAGAAUUUGUGUCUUGCAAACACGAGGUUUGGAUCUC
This 56-nucleotide transfer RNA is filed under the name Plectus acuminatus. Its description in RNAcentral is "tRNA-Ala". The record is from RNAcentral. Lineage: Eukaryota; Metazoa; Nematoda; Chromadorea; Plectida; Plectidae.